GAUCUUGUCUGCUCUUGGAAGCUAAGCAAGUUUGGGCCUGGUUAGUACUUAGAUGG
RNAcentral lists this ribosomal RNA (56 nucleotides) under Ailuropoda melanoleuca (giant panda). Lineage: Eukaryota; Metazoa; Chordata; Mammalia; Carnivora; Ursidae. The record is from RNAcentral.